AUGAAGAUAUUUUCGGAGUCACCCUGCGCACGUAUGAAGUGACCAACCGCCUUAGAUCUGAAUCCAUUGCCUUCAUUGAGGAGAGCAAAAAAGACACAGAUGAGGUUUUCAGCUCCUAACUGGACCCUCUUGCUCAGAUGGAUGGCAGGGUUGCCGCCCCACGCCCUCGGCCGGGGUGGCUACAGGUUUUGUAAGCUCGGACACUGCUGAACCUUCCCUUUGGGCCCCUUCCCCCGUGGCCCCUGCUCUGCCUCUCGUCCUGUCACCGUGUCCUGGUCCUCCGCUCCUGGGUUCUCACUUCUCAGUGUGUCUCUCUCACCCUUUUGGGUUUUCUCCUUGAGUUUUCCUGCUGCAAUGCGAUGCCUUUAUAAUCCGCAGUGGCUUUUACAAAACUGUUUCCCUCUCUCUCUCUCUCUCUUUCUGACAAGGGCACAUCCCCAGUGCAUGAAACCACUGGAACAUGGCUGUGGCUUGUGUUAGGGUGUCUACUGGGGUUCACCCUGGAGAGGCUGCAGGGACCAGAUGCAAGAGUUUUCUGAGCUAGUUCCUCCGCCGCUGUUCAAACCCCCGCCCCCCAACCCCGUCCUUUUUUUACAAUGGUGUUCUGGACAUGUGUGUAUGUGCGUGUGAUGGGCCUGGGUCUCCCUCUGUCCUCUUGCUUGAGCAGACAUGCCGCCUGCACACCCUCAGUGCCAAGAAAUUUGCCCCAGCCCAUACUGAGGCCUCAUGUAUCCAUAAGUAAGGGUCUGUGCUAGUACCCAUAAUAGUCCUGGUUAUAAAAGAGCAGGGCGUGGAGGUGGGGUGUGAUGAGAGGAAGAUAUUCAGUGAAAGAGGGAGUCACAGAAUUAGAUGCAUCCAGAUACUGGUACCAGUUAGCGGAGCCCUUACUGGGAGAUGAACCCAUCUGCUCCCCAGCCCCACCCCACCUCAGCCAGGAUCACCUGACCUGGCCCUCCCCAGACAGUCCCACCCACAAGACGGGAAACAGUGUUGUCCAAGGGAAUGAGCUGGAAAUAAGUGUCUUCCCAUCUUUGCCACUGGAUGACAUUGGACAACGUCACCUGUCCUUCAUUUCCUGUAAUUAUAAUGUUAUGAAGCGGAAAAGGAUGGAUAGAUCGAACUUUAAACUUGUGGAGAUUGGAAACAAUAUCAAGGAAGGGCAUUGUUGUUGUUGUUUUAUUUCCCUAAAUGGGGCUUGCCGUUUCAGCCCUGGAAGUAAAAUACCAGAAGUCAGUAAAAGCAGAUGAGGCUGAAGAAGGAGACCAUCACGAGGCGCCUGCCGACAGCUGGGGCGGGGAGAACCUGCCACCAUGCUUUCGGUCUUCAAAAAGAGAUUCCCCCAGGUUUUUAACCUGAUAAAAGAAUUUUGACGAAUAAAUUAUCCUCAACGCAGAUUUUAAAAACAGGCAGUAAAGUCUUUUGGCAAGAAUCGGGACAGGUACAAUUGCUCCCAGUUGGACAAUCUGCUGAGUUCAUCUUCUCAGAGGAAAUGGGGUGGAAGUGUCCCUCUCUACCCUGAAGUGCUCAAAAUCAAUGGUAAGCAGCGCCCAGAGAGAGCCGGGAAACCCCACUGACCCCCAGCAACUGCCUCCCAGGCGUUGAAAGGAAGCCAUCAGCCAGUUCCGGUCUUCCGUCUGGUUUUGUUUCGUCUUAUGCUGUAGAAAGGCAGCCUUUUCUUUGGACGCAGCACACAGGCAUUGCUUUCUUGAUGCUUGGUGUGGGGGUCUGCCAAAGGGAGAGGGCUCUGUCCCUCCCCAGAAGGGCCCUAGAUCCGAGGUGCCAAAAAGGUGUCCCCAGGAGGGGACAACCUCAGAGACUCUUAAAGACAAAGGGGAAGCUCUGUCUCGGCUUUUUCCACCUUCCCUGGCAGCCCCCGCUGGUGUCUCAUCCAUGGGACACAGAGUUCGACUUCGUGCCAGUUUUGAUUUCCCUGCCUGACUUUAAUCCUAUUCACUCCUGCUCGGGCUUCCGUGGCACAGAAACCAAGCACUCAGCAUGCUCGGCCACCCCUCUCUGACCUGGAG
RNAcentral lists this long non-coding RNA (2024 nucleotides) under Sus scrofa (pig). RNAcentral describes it as "lncRNA (ENSSSCG00065075300.1)". The record is from RNAcentral. Lineage: Eukaryota; Metazoa; Chordata; Mammalia; Artiodactyla; Suidae.